RNAcentral lists this long non-coding RNA (4078 nucleotides) under Medicago truncatula (barrel medic). RNAcentral's name for it is "long non-coding RNA (MTRU_LNC001044)". Lineage: Eukaryota; Viridiplantae; Streptophyta; Magnoliopsida; Fabales; Fabaceae. The record is from RNAcentral.
UUUGAUUGGAAUUGAAUACAUAUUAUUUUUACCUAUACAACAAAUUAAAUCCAAGAAAUUAUAUUCCAAUAUUUGGUAAAUCUUAAUAGCUACUCGACAGCAAAAAAUAAGUCUUUUAACAUGUUUUUUUAUUUUUUUUUGGUCUAGAAACCGCAGGAGUUUUAUUUGAAAACCAGAACACAAUAAUCUAUAGAUCAACCAAUAAAUUAAAAUGAAAUUCUCAUUGGAGCAUAGGAGAAUUACAACAACUCAUUUCUCCAAUUAAAAUCUCAUCCUCCUCUCUGUUAUGACAUGAAUGAAUAACUAUCUUUGCCUUUAAAAUUAGGCUCUGUAACCCUUCAUGAAUUUAGAGCUGAAUAAGGAGUCUCUCUCUGGUGGUUAAAUUAAUGAAUGAUAUAGGUCAACACCAAAGCCACAAGCAUUAAAACACAUGCAAUCGCUUGGUCAAUUUUGGUGCCUGCAUAUUAUAAACAACAACAAUUCAUUAGCAAUACUCACUACAUACUCUCCUUUCAAUAAUGCUCAUAAAGAAUAUAGCAUGGAAAAAUAAAAAAUUGAAAAUUAAAUAUGAUGAAUUUUUUGGCCACAACCCUUUAGUUUUGGGGAAGGGGACUUGGCAAUCCAUAAUUAAGACAAAGGUAAGUAAAAUUUGGUUAAAGAUUGUUCCAUCAAAGUCAUGUUCUUCUGUAACAAAAAAAAAAAAAACUCAAGUUCUUCCAAACGAUUUUCACAUUUGUUUUGUAAUCAUUAGAAAAAUAUUUGUUAUAUGAAUAUAUUAACUAAUCAAAUAAAAAUUGAUCAAACAUCAACAAUGGUAUCUAAAAAUUAAAUGAGAGAAAAUUAAGAAUAUUUACCAUCGCUUGUAGGAGCAGGGGCAGGUGCAAUGGAUUGUGAACAAGCCACAGAAAUAAGUGUAGCAUAAAUGAGGCCAAGGAAGGCAACCACCCUGAAUGAAGCACAUGAAACAGCCAUAUAUGUUUCUCUUAAUAUUUUCUUUCUUCUUCUUCUUGUUGUUUUAUUUCUCUCUCUCCUUCUCUUUCUCUCUUGAUUUUUCAAGUUUUUAGAGAGAAAGAAAGGAGAGAGAAAUUAACUAAUUAAUCCAAAUAAUAACAAGACUUGUGUAGGAGAAAGAUGUUCGGGGUGGUGAAAAUGAAUUAGCUUUGUGGAAUUCCUUUUAUAAUGGCAAUGCAAGUUUUCAUAAGCCACCUAAGUUGAGAUGUUAAUUGAAGGUGUACCCGUAUGUUUAGGAGAAUCUACAAUAAUAUACUAACAUGAGAUUUUCUUUCUGUUCUUACUUAAUAUUUAACCAAUAAUAUUUUUCAAUGGCAACUCAUAUUUGCUUUUGCACUUUUUUGGGUAUGUUUUCUUCUAUAUAGAAACACCAAAACCAUGAUCAUGAUGGGUAUUUUUUUAAUGGAUGAAUAAAACACAUUUACUAAACCAAAAAUAUAAAAAGAUAAAAAAAUUGUUUUGAUUUUUAAAAAGUGUGGCUGCUGGGAUUCGAGCCCAGGUCUCCACGGCCACAACGUGGAAUUCUUACCACUAAACUACAGCCACUUGAUGUUCUUAUAUCGAACAUACCUUUUUAAAUAGACAUAUUACUUUUUUUUUGAGGGAUUAAAUAGACAUAUUACUGUUUUGAGGGGAAAAAAAAUAUACACAUCCAAAAAAAAAAAAUCAACAAAAAUUUGGUUUCUAUCUUGUGUUGUUUGUUUUUUUAUAACAACUAUCGACAAUUGAAAUCCUUUAAAAAGUUUCUAUGCACUGCAAAUAAUCUGCAUUAAAAAAAAACUAAUAGAAUCCUUCUGCUUGCGUUGUAGAAGAAGCAUCAUGACUGACUUCAAUUUUUAUUUUAUUUUUAAAGUAAAGGUACUCUCCCGAGUAAUUAUGUAGACUUAUCCGCUCUUAGUAACUGAGAUUUAUUUAAAAGAUUGAUCUCUAGACAGAUUGAACUUUGAAUUGGGGUUCAACUGUCUGCUACCCCCCUUUGUUCAUUAUGUUGGUGACUUACUUAAGCUUAUGUCAAAAUAGCAUUAAGGAGUAAGCUUAUUUACUUGCUUAUAUCAUCUUUGAUAAGCUAAUUCAAAUAUCUCGUAUCUUAAAACUUUUAACUUAUCAUUAUUUAUCUCAAUUUUAUCCCUGUAACAUUUAUUGAAAUAAAUUUAAUAUAUAUUAAAUAUAUCAUUUUAUGUCAUUUCAUAUUUAUAAGUUAAUUCAACCACUGAUUUUAUGUCUUAUAGUUUCAGCUGCCAUAAGACAUACGUUGUAAACUCAAAAAUGGAAUUUGUCAAACAUAUUCAAAUUUCUAAGUAGUUGAUCUAUUAAUGUUUGCAUAUUGGAUAACUAUUCUAUUAGUUAUAUGAUUAUUACUUUGUCCAUUGUAAAUUUAUUAUAGUUUUAAUAUUUUAUAUUUGUUAAAAAAUAACAGAUAUUUUAGAAAUCCAAAAUAUAAUUAACCUAUUUUAAAUAACAGAUAUUUUAAAUAACAGAUAUUUUUUAAAUAAUUAAUAAUAGAAUAAAACUAUUUUGAUAUACAUAUAUAUUGAUUAAAUAAUUUUUAAUGUGUGUGAAAAGUUCAAAUAAUUUUUAUUAAAUCACUAAACAACAUAACUAAUGUUUAGUGAUUUAUUAUUUGUGAGGAUGAUGAUUAGUGAUCAAGUUUUAAGACUAUGUUCUUUAUGAGGAUGAUGAUCAGUGAUCUAGUUUUAAGAUUUAUGUAAUGUUAUGUUUUUUUUUUUUUUUGUUUACUAAACAUUGAAGCAAAGAGCCCUUGAUAGUUAUCACUGAGACACACUUUACAAGUUUUAUAAAGAGGUGCAACACAAGUUUUAUAAAGAGAUGACACACUUUACAACUUUAGUUUGUUUAGUGACUCAUGUAUGUUGUUUAGUGAUUGUAAAAGAAAUUUAUUUUCAUAGGGUAGAAGAAAUUUAUAUUUUCAAACAUACACAUUGUACCCUAUAUAUUGAAAAUCAAAACAUAUUAGAGUUACAAAUUAAUAUGUUACACUUUUUGUUUAUUUUAAUACUAUUGCAAUUUUAUGUCAUGCAACUUUAGUUUGUUGCAAGUAUUUUAUGAUGGAGUUUAUUAUUUGAUAUUCUAUGAUGCAUAAAAUUAUAGUAAAAUAAGUUAAACAUUCUUUUUAAGAAAAUUAAAAAGUAGAAUACUAUUUUAAAACAAAAUUAUGAGGACAUGUCAUUUAAUCAUUUAAUAUUAAAAAAAUAGAAAAAUAACUUGGAUAACCCAUUACCCAAUCCAACCCAACCCAAAAAUUAGUGGGAUUGCCCAAACCCACCCAAUAGUAUGACAAGUGGUUAUUUUACCUCACCCAAAUCGAAGUACCCUAUUUGAUUUGGUUUUGGGUUUCCCAAGCCCACCUACGAACACCCCCCAAUGACAGGUUUUCUUUAGCCAACUUUGGACACAAAAUAUAGUGAUUUUCUGCUCACAUAUAUGACAUAAAACUUAUAAUUCGUACGUUAAAAAUCAAGAUUGCAUUUCUACAAACACGUUGUAUGCAUCCGUAUAACAUUGAACACAAAAUACAGUGAUAACAUUCUAUAAUUUGCUCACAUACAAGACUUAAAACUUGUAAUUCAUAUGGUAAAAAACAAGCUUGCAUUUCUACAAACACGUUAUAUGCAUAAAAACAACCAAUUUAAAAAUAAAUGAAAAUGUGAACACAUUAUCAUAAAGAACAAUUAACAUAAACAUUUAUGCAUACAAGUUCAAAACAACUUCAAAUAUAGAAAAGGGUUGAACAAAUUAAAAUAAGUUACAGUCAAAGUACCGCAUUUAAUGGAAAAGGAAAGAAUGAUUGGCCUAUUGAAUCUUGAUUUGGAAUAUGUUAUCGUGGAUUAUGAAAGAGAAGAUCGUCGAAAGUUUACGGUGGAUUUCAAAAGUGGUGACUAAAAUUAUUUCAUGUUGUUGUUAGGAAAGAGGUGAGAGGAAACGUAAACGAGAAUGUAUCUAAGGUGACUAGAGAAAUCUCGUGUUUGUUAUUUAAAUAAAUGUGGGUUUUUUAAGAAUUUUAGAGGGGAGUAUUUUGGGUAACGUUUAGUAUGGGAAAUGAUUCUUU